Non-coding RNA from Hordeum vulgare subsp. vulgare (domesticated barley), 107 nucleotides. Lineage: Eukaryota; Viridiplantae; Streptophyta; Magnoliopsida; Poales; Poaceae. The record is from Rfam.
AAGCCAUGAGUGGGACAAUUUAUAAUCAUGAAUUUCAUUCUCUCCCAUGAUUGUGCCACGUGUUCUUGAUCAUGUUGUUUAAAAUUAAUAAUUUGAUUUCUGAGACA